UACGUAGGUGGCAAGCGUUGUCCGGAUUUAUUGGGUUUAAAGGGUGCGUAGGCGGCCCUAUAAGUCAGUGCUGAAAUAUCCCGGCUUAACCGGGAGGGUGGCAUUGAUACUGUAGGGCUUGAGUGAAGUCGAGGUAGGCGGAAUUGACGGUGUAGCGGUGAAAUGCUUAGAUAUCGUCAAGAACACCGAUAGUGAAGACAGCUUACUAGACUUCAACUGACGCUGAGGCACGAAAGUGUGGGGAUCAAACAGG
Molecule: ribosomal RNA, 253 nt
Filed under: uncultured bacterium
Lineage: Bacteria
Description: partial 16S ribosomal RNA
Rfam family: Bacterial small subunit ribosomal RNA
Source: RNAcentral